CUAUAGGCCGCUGCUGGUGAACAACACAGACAAGAGUCCGAAGAACGAGGCUGAUGCCAACGCAGAGACCUCAGCAGAGAUGGAUGGACCUGCAGGACUGGCUGAGGAGGGGCCAGUUAUGCCGGUGCCAGAGGUUAUGAACCUGUGUGAGACAGCGACCCUGUGUGGAGAAGCCUAGAAACUGCACCAAGGUCCAGCAGCUUACAAUUAAAGUACAGUAUUUCUUGCCAACUGUGAGCCUACAUUCCCAUUUCAAAAUAUUUCUCAAUAUUUGAAAUCAGAGAGUGUGUUUAAUGUGCAAUACAACUGUUCUAGUAACCUUUUCAGCAUUAACGAAGAGUGCAUUCCAAUCACUGAGCAACUGAGGAUCAAGUGCCUUUCCUCACGACACCUUAACAGCAGCUGCAGUAGUUUAGCAUAAAUGUUGCCCCUUCGGAUUAUAAAGCCGCUAAAGAAUAAACUUGAAAUAUCCCUUUAACGUUUCAGCUCCGAUCACUGUGUUUUAUUUACGCCUGGUUAUUUUGGUCCCGAUUAUCGUUUCAGCAAAGUAAAAAAUGCAUUGACUGACCAAUGCCAUCAUGUACAGCUACAUAUUUUGAUUCACCUAUUUAACUUUUAUUUCCAUUGAUUUUUUUUCCCUUCUUCUUCAAACCUGAGUGCAGCUGCACUUUUUUAAUGUCAUUGUUUAAACCAGAGUUAUAAAAUGGACUGUAUUAAGUAUUUCGUGCUUUUUAUUGUUUAUAAAAGGAUAUUUCCCUCCUU
This is a long non-coding RNA of Fundulus heteroclitus (mummichog), 762 nucleotides long. RefSeq lists it as uncharacterized. The record is from RefSeq and is a predicted model, not a curated record. The transcript has 2 exons. NCBI's taxonomy places the organism in Eukaryota, Metazoa, Chordata, Actinopteri, Cyprinodontiformes, Fundulidae.